UGCUUUGCUUAAUGAUAAAGAUACUGAAAUAAUUGAUGUUAAAAAUAUUAAUUCAAAGAAUGAUUUUUCUGUCAGUAAAAGACAAAACUGAUUAUAUUACUUUUUACUAUUAUAUUAUUUAAACAAUUUGAUUUUAUAUUUUCAUUUAGAAUAUUUGAUAUCAUCCAUGAUAUUUUUUAUAUUAUGUUGAAUUUUUAAUUUAUAAAAAUAUUAUUUUAAGAAAAAAUAUAGGGUUCUAAGCUAGUUUAUAGUUUAUUAGCAUAGUGGAU
RNAcentral lists this long non-coding RNA (269 nucleotides) under Elaeis guineensis (African oil palm). RNAcentral's name for it is "long non-coding RNA (EGUI_LNC010040)". Lineage: Eukaryota; Viridiplantae; Streptophyta; Magnoliopsida; Arecales; Arecaceae. The record is from RNAcentral.